GUUUAUGGCCAUGACACCCUGAACAAGCCCGAUCCUGUCUGAUCUCGAAAGCUAAGCAGGGUCAGGCCUGGUUAGUAAUUGGAUGGGAGACCACCUAGGAAGAUCAGGUGCUGUAGGCA
RNAcentral lists this ribosomal RNA (119 nucleotides) under Pteropus alecto (black flying fox). The record is from RNAcentral. Lineage: Eukaryota; Metazoa; Chordata; Mammalia; Chiroptera; Pteropodidae.